Molecule: ribosomal RNA, 301 nt
Filed under: uncultured bacterium
Lineage: Bacteria
Description: partial 16S ribosomal RNA
Rfam family: Bacterial small subunit ribosomal RNA
Source: RNAcentral
CAGUAGCCACGGGAAUACGAAGGGGCUAGCGUUGUUCGGAUUUACUGGGCGUAAAGAGCGCGUAGGCGGACUGAUAAGUCAGGGGUGAAAUCCCAAGGCUCAACCUUGGAACUGCCUUUGAUACUGUUUGUCUUGAGUUCGAGAGAGGUAAGUGGAACUGCGAGUGUAGAGGUGAAAUUCGUAGAUAUUCGCAAGAACACCAGUGGCGAAGGCGGCUUACUGGCUCGAUACUGACGCUGAGGCGCGAAAGCGUGGGGAGCAAACAGGAUUAGAUACCCCAGUAGUCCAUGUCUCUUAUACA